GGGGGGGAGGAGUUGAGAGUCAUUAACCUCUUGGCUACCUAACAAAGAGUCUCAAGUUUGAAUCUCAAUGUAAAAGUUAAGUUCCCCUUUUCAGACCUUGCGAUCUAAAGGGCAGGUGAUGUUUAGGUCAUCUGUUUCUUUGGCCAACAGUUAACGAGUAGGCUGUCAUGUGGCCAGCAUGAGAGUUUGAAUAGGAACCAACACAAACAUUCUCAAAGACAUUUAAAAAAAAAAAAAAGGUCUGACCGUAGAAAGAAAGUGAAAUAAAAACAAAAUGCAUAUGCACCGUUCAGUAAGUAAAAGAAAAACAUUGCACCUCAUCUUAGGGUAAGCUUAUUGAGCAUUAUUAAUAAACAUGUUUAAUAAGAGAUGGAUAUGUCAUGUGUCAAGAUGAAUGCCCAUAGUCAAGAUAUUUUAUCACUAGUUAGUUUGGAAUAAUUUAAACCUAGAAUCAUGCACUAGAAAUAAUUGUACAAUAAAAGUAAAUAUUUAAAUGUACGAGUCGUUAUUUUGUUGAGCUGUAAACUACAGUAAAGUAUGGUACAUUCUUUUAGCAACAAUGAUCUGAACAAAAAUGUGGUAAUAUUGUGUCCUCCUGGCUUCCAAGAAGUAGUUUGAGGAGCAAGGAAACUUUGGCUUGAAGUGACAAGACAUGAUGGUAGACUAUGUAAUGUAUGCAUUUUCUCUUGGCACUAAAUGAAUACUCGCAUACAGCUGUCGGUGCGUAGGUUAUGGCAUUCUAGCACCAAUGUGUAUUAAGUGCACAAUUUUUGAAAGCACUUUCUUUUUGUUGCCUUGCUUGUAAGCUGAUGGAUUGUUUUUGUUAUGCUGGUGAGAUUCUUCUGUGUUCCCCUGUUUAGGGGAGUUAGUAUGGGAUUGGAAGUCUACGCUGGUGACUAGAGCCAGCAGUGUGUUGUGUUGUGGAACAUUAAUGUGUACGUUGUGGGACAGCAAGGUGUAGAAUUAUUGUUUAAUUAUUAGAUUCACAAUAUUAGAAUGUUCCAAAUUCAAUGUCAUUACUCCAUCAGUUUGUCAUCAUAAUUUAUAUUCAUAUCAUUAAACAUUAACAGUG
This is a long non-coding RNA of Biomphalaria glabrata, 1072 nucleotides long. RefSeq lists it as uncharacterized. The record is from RefSeq and is a predicted model, not a curated record. The transcript is spliced from 2 exons. Lineage: Eukaryota; Metazoa; Mollusca; Gastropoda; Planorbidae.